This is a small nuclear RNA of Nomascus leucogenys (northern white-cheeked gibbon), 107 nucleotides long. Lineage: Eukaryota; Metazoa; Chordata; Mammalia; Primates; Hylobatidae. The record is from Ensembl.
GUGCUUGUUUCAGCAGCACAUAUACUAAAAUUGGAAUGAUGUAGAGAAGAUUAGCAUGGCCCCUGUGCAAGGAUGACAUGCAAAUUUGUGAAGUGUUCCACAGUUUU